GGAAGCCUGAUGCAGCGACGCCGCGUGGGGGAUGACGGCCUUCGGGUUGUAAACCCCUUUCAGUAGGGAAGAAGCGCAAGUGACGGUACCUGCAGAAGAAGCGCCGGCUAACUACGUGCCAGCAGCCGCGGUAAUACGUAGGGCGCGAGCGUUAUCCGGAAUUAUUGCGCGUAAAGAGCUCGUAGGCGGCUUGUCGCGUCUGCUGUGAAAGCCCGGGGCUCAACCCCGGGUCUGCAGUGGGUACGGGCAGGCUGGAGUGCAGUAGGGGAGACUGGAAUUCCUGGUGUAGCGGUGAAAUGCGCAGAUAUCAGGAGGAACACCGAUGGCGAAGGCAGGUCUCUGAGCUGUAACUGACGCUGAGGAGCGAAAGCAUGGGGAGCGAACAGGAUUAGAUACCCUGGUAGUCCAUGCCGUAAACGUUGGGCACUAGGUGUGGGGGCCAUUCCACGGUUUCUGCGCCGCAGCUAACGCAUUAAGUGCCCCGCCUGGGGAGUACGGCCGCAAGGCUAAAACUCAAAGGAAUUGACGGGGG
Molecule: ribosomal RNA, 532 nt
Filed under: Sinomonas halotolerans
Lineage: Bacteria; Bacillati; Actinomycetota; Actinomycetes; Micrococcales; Micrococcaceae
Description: bacterial SSU rRNA
Rfam family: Bacterial small subunit ribosomal RNA
Source: RNAcentral